GACGAACGCUGGCGGCGUGCCUAAUACAUGCAAGUCGAACGAACCGCGACUAGGUGCUUGCACUUGGUCAAGGUGAGUGGCGAACGGGUGAGUAACACGUGGGUAACCUACCUCAUAGUGGGGGAUGACAGUCGGAAACGACUGCUAAUACCGCAUAGGACAUAGGAUCACAUGAUUCUGUGAGGAAAGGUGGCGCAAGCUAUCGCUAAGAGAUGGACCCGCGGUGCAUUAGCUAGUUGGUAGGGUAAAGGCCUACCAAGGCGAUGAUGCAUAGCCGACCUGAGAGGGUGAUCGGCCACAUUGGGACUGAGACACGGCCCAAACUCCUACGGGAGGCAGCAGUAGGGAAUCUUCCGCAAUGGACGCAAGUCUGACGGAGCAACGCCGCGUGAGUGAAGAAGGUCUUCGGAUCGUAAAGCUCUGUUGUUAGAGAAGAACAGCGCAUAGAGUAACUGUUAUGCGUGUGACGGUAUCUAACCAGAAAGCCACGGCUAACUACGUG
Molecule: ribosomal RNA, 502 nt
Filed under: uncultured bacterium
Lineage: Bacteria
Description: partial 16S ribosomal RNA
Rfam family: Bacterial small subunit ribosomal RNA
Source: RNAcentral